RNAcentral lists this long non-coding RNA (521 nucleotides) under Brassica napus (rape). RNAcentral describes it as "long non-coding RNA (BNAP_LNC011876)". The record is from RNAcentral. Lineage: Eukaryota; Viridiplantae; Streptophyta; Magnoliopsida; Brassicales; Brassicaceae.
AUUGAGAUAUUAUAUAUUCCAUUUAAAGGUGGGGCAAGCCCAAAUAUUACAAAACCCAACCAACAAGGGCAAUCCUACUCCACACAAACAUAGGCCCAUAAGCCCAAAAAACCGGAAACCCUAGCUACCCAAACGAAAGCGCCGCUCACGCGCUCCACCGCUUCGAUCCACGACGGAACCCCGCAACAAUCGAACCCCGGUGCCAUCUCCAACGAUCGAUCCACCGGUACAACCCAAGCUCAAAAGCUCCACAACAUCAUCACCGCUAACGCCCUCAAGACGGAGUUUCUAAUAUCGGAAUGCAUCAAUCGCAGAAGGAGAGCUAAUCCGUCACUAUUAAACACCACCACCGACGAGAGGCUUAACGCAAACCAUCACCCAGUUACCACCGGUGAGCGUCAAUCAUCCUCCGACGAGAGCUCCUCCGGCCAAACCAACCCGACAUCGCUAGAAAACUAAGAUAGAAACCUAAAAACGGAAGUAGAAGACCACUACCUGGCGGCACAAGGCACAGAACCACC